GUAGUUUACUACAGAAAAUGACUGAGCGGCGAACGGGUGAGUAACGCGUGAGCAAUCUACCUUAGUUACAGGGAUAGCCCGAGGAAACUCGGAUUAAUACCUGAUAUUCUUUAUAUUUCGCAUGAAAUUAAAAGGAAAGGUCAGCCGAACUAAGAUGAGCUCGCGUUCUAUCAGCUAGUUGGUGAGGUAAAAGCUCACCAAGGCUACGACGGAUAGCUGGUCUGAGAGGACGAUCAGCCACACUGGGACUGAGACACGGCCCAGACUCCUACGGGAGGCUGCAGCAGGGAAUAUUGCGCAAUGAGCGAAAGCUUGACGCAGCGACACCGCGUGUGGGAUGACGGAUCUAGGUUUGUAAACCACUUUCAGGAGGGAAGGAAAUGACGGUACCUCCACAAGAAGCCCCGGCCAACUACGUGCCAGCAGCCGCGGUAAU
This 436-nucleotide ribosomal RNA is filed under the name uncultured Actinomycetes bacterium. RNAcentral's name for it is "bacterial SSU rRNA". It matches the Rfam family "Bacterial small subunit ribosomal RNA", at positions 70 to 524 of the family's 1533-position model. Lineage: Bacteria; Bacillati; Actinomycetota; Actinomycetes. The record is from RNAcentral.